CAAUAGCAUAUAUUAACGUUGUUGCAGUUGAAAAGCUCGUAGUUGAACUUUUGGUAGGAGCGACCUGGCCUUGGGCGCAUGCCCUUGUUUGCCGUUUGUCGUAUCUGGCCAUCCUUUUCCGCUUCGGCGGGAAUCCUUUACUGUGAGUAAACUGGAGUGCUCAAAACAAGACGUUUGUUUGGUACAUUAAAGCAUGGAAUAAUAAGAUAGGACCUGGUUACUAUUUUGUUGGUUUGCAUAGCUAGGUAAUGAUUAACAGGGACAGUUGGGGGUAUUCGUAUUUAAUUGUCAGAGGUGAAAUUCUUGGAUUUAUGAAAGACGAACGACUGCGAAAGCAUUUACCAAGGAUGUUUUCAUUAA
This 360-nucleotide ribosomal RNA is filed under the name uncultured eukaryote. Its description in RNAcentral is "partial 18S ribosomal RNA". It matches the Rfam family "Eukaryotic small subunit ribosomal RNA", at positions 592 to 976 of the family's 1831-position model. The record is from RNAcentral.